AUCUUAGAUGCAAACAGAGGAACAACAGCGAGGUGUCAGGAGCCAAUACCUUGUCCACCCUGGAGCUGUCCCUGGUCUCACUGCACCUGUGACCACCACCAGCAACACCAGGACUGACUCUUUGCUUCACUGAUCCCACAGACCCUGCUGGAGCCAGCGAUGAAGACCUAAAGGGGGUUCCAUGUCCUUCUCAUAGAAGCAGAAGGCCUGGGAAGGUGGACCCAAGGCUAGCAAUUUGCUUAGCAGGUGUCACAGGAAGGGGGUGAGUAUGGCUACUGAGGAUGCCCAAGGAUGUGCCCUGGCUACCGGGCAGCAU
RNAcentral lists this long non-coding RNA (316 nucleotides) under Mus pahari (shrew mouse). RNAcentral's name for it is "lncRNA (MGP_PahariEiJ_G0006150.1)". Lineage: Eukaryota; Metazoa; Chordata; Mammalia; Rodentia; Muridae. The record is from RNAcentral.